UACGUAGGGGGCAAGCGUUGUCCGGAUUUAUUGGGCGUAAAGCGCGUGUAGGCGGCCAGAUAGGUCUGCUGUGAAAACUCGAGGCUCAACCUCGAGCUGUCGGCGGAAACCAUCUGGUUAGAGUCCGGAAGAGGAGAGUGGAAUUCCUGGUGUAGCGGUGAAAUGCGCAGAUAUCAGGAAGAACACCUAUGGCGAAGGCAGCUCUCUGGGACGGUACUGACGCUGAGACGCGAAAGCGUGGGGAGCGAACAGG
This 253-nucleotide ribosomal RNA is filed under the name uncultured bacterium. RNAcentral describes it as "partial 16S ribosomal RNA". It matches the Rfam family "Bacterial small subunit ribosomal RNA", at positions 524 to 776 of the family's 1533-position model. The record is from RNAcentral.